This 75-nucleotide transfer RNA is filed under the name Roseibium alexandrii DFL-11. RNAcentral's name for it is "Labrenzia alexandrii DFL-11 tRNA-Val". It matches the Rfam family "tRNA". From Rfam's summary of the family: Transfer RNA (tRNA) molecules are approximately 80 nucleotides in length. The record is from RNAcentral. Lineage: Bacteria; Pseudomonadati; Pseudomonadota; Alphaproteobacteria; Hyphomicrobiales; Stappiaceae.
GGGUUACUAGCCCAGCGGGAGAGCGUUCCGGUCACGACGGAAAGGAUACUGGUUCAAUCCCAGUUUCGCCCACCG